CCUACGGGGGCUGCAGUGGGGAAUAUUGGACAAUGGGCGAAAGCCUGAUCCAGCCAUGCCGCGUGUGUGAAGAAGGCCUUCGGGUUGUAAAGCACUUUCAGUGGGGAAGAAAGCCUUGGGGCUAAUACCCUCGAGGAAGGACAUCACCCACAGAAGAAGCACCGGCUAACUCCGUGCCAGCAGCCGCGGUAAUACGGAGGGUGCGAGCGUUAAUCGGAAUUACUGGGCGUAAAGCGCGCGUAGGCGGUCUGAUAAGCCGGUUGUGAAAGCCCCGGGCUCAACCUGGGAACGGCAUCCGGAACUGUCAGGCUAGAGUGCAGGAGAGGAAGGUAGAAUUCCCGGUGUAGCGGUGAAAUGCGUAGAGAUCGGGAGGAAUACCAGUGGCGAAGGCGGCCUUCUGGACUGACACUGACGCUGAGGUGCGAAAGCGUGGGUAGCAAACCGGAUUAGAUACCCCAGUAGUC
Molecule: ribosomal RNA, 464 nt
Filed under: Vreelandella stevensii
Lineage: Bacteria; Pseudomonadati; Pseudomonadota; Gammaproteobacteria; Oceanospirillales; Halomonadaceae
Description: partial 16S ribosomal RNA
Rfam family: Bacterial small subunit ribosomal RNA
Source: RNAcentral